GCGAGAUAUAUUGGCAGCUGCGGAUCAUUUGAUUGGAAUGAAAUUUGGAAUGGGUACACUUGACGAUAUGAAUCAUUUGAAAAAUAAACGUAUUCGGUCUGUCGCAGAUCUUUUACAAGACCAAUUUGGAUUGUCCCUGGUUCGUUUAGAAAAUAUGGUUAGAGGGACUAUAUGCGGAGCAAUUAAGCAUAAAUUGAUACCCACUCCUCAGAAUUUGGUAACUUCAACUCCAUUAACAACCACUUAUGAAUCUUUUUUUGGAUUACACCCAUUAUCUCAAGUUUUGGAUCGAACUAAUCCAUUGACCCAAAUAGUUCAUGGGAGAAAAUCGAGUUAUCUGGGCCCUGGAGGAUUGACAGGGCGAACUGCAGUUUUCGGAUACGAGAUAUUCACCCCAGUCACUACGGACGCAUUUGCCCUAUUGACACGUCUGAAGGAAUCAAUGUUGGACUUAUUGGAUCCUUAGCAAUUCAUGCGAAGAUUGGUUAUUGGGGGUCUCUAGAAAGUCCGUUUUAUGAAAUUUCUGAGAGAUCAAAAAAAGUACGGAUGCUCUAUUUAUCACCAAGUAAAGAUGAAUACUAUAUGAUAGCGGCAGGAAAUUCUUUGGGCUUGAAUCGAGGUAUUCAGGAAGAACAGGUUGUUCCAGCUCGAUACCGUCAAGAAUUCCUGACUGUUGAAUGGGAACAGGUUCAUCUUCGAAGUAUUUUUCCCUUCCAAUAUUUUUCUAUUGGAGCUUCCCUGAUUCCUUUUAUUGAGCAUAAUGAUGCGAAUCGAGCUUUAAUGAGUUCUAAUAUGCAACGUCAAGCAGUUCCGCUCUCUCGGUCUGAAAAGUGCAUUGUUGGAACUGGGUUGGAACGCCAAGUGGCUUUAGAUUCGGGGGUUACUGCUAUAGCCGAACAUGAGGGAAAAAUCAUUUAUACCGAUACUGACAAGAUAAUUUUAUCGGGCAAUGGGGAUACUCUAAACAUUCCAUUAGUUAUAUACCAACGUUCCAAC
Fragaria vesca subsp. vesca is the source of this 996-nucleotide RNA transcript. It is a transcript of the gene named DNA-directed RNA polymerase subunit beta-like, with no coding region annotated. NCBI's taxonomy places the organism in Eukaryota, Viridiplantae, Streptophyta, Magnoliopsida, Rosales, Rosaceae. The transcript has a single exon. The annotation marks the transcript as partial. The record is from RefSeq and is a predicted model, not a curated record.